RNAcentral lists this transfer RNA (74 nucleotides) under Holosporales bacterium. RNAcentral describes it as "tRNA-Cys". It matches the Rfam family "tRNA". Rfam says of the family: Transfer RNA (tRNA) molecules are approximately 80 nucleotides in length. Their secondary structure includes four short double-helical elements and three loops (D, anti-codon, and T loops). Further hydrogen bonds mediate the characteristic L-shaped molecular structure. tRNAs have two regions of fundamental functional importance: the anti-codon, which is responsible for specific mRNA codon recognition, and the 3' end, to which the tRNAs corresponding amino acid is attached (by aminoacyl-tRNA synthetases). tRNAs cope with the degeneracy of the genetic code in two manners: having more than one tRNA (with a specific anti-codon) for a particular amino acid; and 'wobble' base-pairing, i.e. permitting non-standard base-pairing at the 3rd anti-codon position. Lineage: Bacteria; Pseudomonadati; Pseudomonadota; Alphaproteobacteria; Holosporales. The record is from RNAcentral.
GGCCGAGUGGCAGAAAGGCUAUGCAGCGGAUUGCAAAUCCGUGUAUGUCGGUUCAAUUCCGGCCUCGGCCUCCA